Molecule: transfer RNA, 115 nt
Filed under: Candidatus Woesearchaeota archaeon
Lineage: Archaea; Nanobdellati; Candidatus Woesearchaeota
Description: tRNA-Arg
Rfam family: tRNA (bases 45-115)
About the family: Transfer RNA (tRNA) molecules are approximately 80 nucleotides in length. Their secondary structure includes four short double-helical elements and three loops (D, anti-codon, and T loops).
Source: RNAcentral
GGGCCUGUAGUCUAGCCUGGACACGCGGCAAAUCUGCGAUUUGCGGGUUUGCAGGCGCUGCAAAGGACGGCGGGCUUCGGACCCGCAAACCCCGGUUCGAAUCCGGGCAGGCUCA